Molecule: ribosomal RNA, 614 nt
Filed under: fungal endophyte
Lineage: Eukaryota; Fungi
Description: eukaryotic LSU rRNA
Rfam family: 5.8S ribosomal RNA (bases 190-343)
Source: RNAcentral
CGGAGGGAUCAUUAUCGAGUUACCGCUCCUUAUAACCCUUUGUGAACAUACCCCAAACGUUGCCUCGGCGGGCAGCCGGAGCCCAGCUCCGGCGCCCGGAGCCGCCGUCUCGGCGCGCCCCACCCGCCGGCGGACCACUAAACUCUAUUUAAACGACGUCUCUUCUGAGUGGCACAAGCAAAUAAUCAAAACUUUUAACAACGGAUCUCUUGGUUCUGGCAUCGAUGAAGAACGCAGCGAAAUGCGAUAAGUAAUGUGAAUUGCAGAAUUCAGUGAAUCAUCGAAUCUUUGAACGCACAUUGCGCCCGCCAGCAUUCUGGCGGGCAUGCCUGUUCGAGCGUCAUUUCAACCCUCAAGCACCGCUUGGCGUUGGGGCCCUACGGCUUCCGUAGGCCCCGAAAUACAGUGGCGGACCCUCCCGGAGCCUCCUUUGCGUAGUAACAUACCACCUCGCACUGGGAUCCGGAGGGACUCCUGCCGUAAAACCCCCCAAUUUUCCAAAGGUUGACCUCGGAUCAGGUAGGAAUACCCGCUGAACUUAAGCAUAUCAAUAAGCGGAGGAAAAGAAACCAACAGGGAUUGCCUCAGUAACGGCGAGUGAAGCGGCAACAGCU